Molecule: ribosomal RNA, 502 nt
Filed under: uncultured bacterium
Lineage: Bacteria
Description: partial 16S ribosomal RNA
Rfam family: Bacterial small subunit ribosomal RNA
Source: RNAcentral
GACGAACGCUGGCGGCGUGCCUAAUACAUGCAAGUCGAACGAACCGCGACUAGGUGCUUGCACUUGGUCAAGGUGAGUGGCGAACGGGUGAGUAACACGUGGGUAACCUACCUCAUAGUGGGGGAUAACAGUCGGAAACGACUGCUAAUACCGCAUAGGACAUAGGAUCACAUGAUCCAGUGAGGAAAGGUGGCGCAAGCUAUCGCUAAGAGAUGGACCCGCGGUGCAUUAGCUAGUUGGUAGGGUAAAGGCCUACCAAGGCGAUGAUGCAUAGCCGACCUGAGAGGGUGAUCGGCCACAUUGGGACUGAGACACGGCCCAAACUCCUACGGGAGGCAGCAGUAGAGAAUCUUCCGCAAUGGACGCAAGUCUGACGGAGCAACGCCGCGUGAGUGAAGAAGGUCUUCGGAUCGUAAAGCUCUGUUGUUAGAGAAGAACAGCGCAUAGAGUAACUGUUAUGCGUGUGACAGUAUCUAACCAGAAAGCCACGGCUAACUACGUG